GAAAAACUGAAGCCUCCAAAAUCCUGGACUAAUUGAAGACCAGAACCUUUCAGAAGAACCAGAACAGAACCAGCUGAUCUGAGUUGGAGCAGCAAGUUGGUUCUGAUUGGACCUUCUGCCUGUCUGGACAUCCUGAGUACCGCCAGCUGGACCGGUACCGGCUCGGAACCAUCUGGUGGAUCAGUGCCUUGCUCAGGAUCAACCUUCAACAUGACGGAGGAAGCAGGAAUCUAACCCACAACCUUCCGCUGAUCCAACAGGCGGUUUCCUGGUCCUCCAGAACCAUCUCAAUCUGGACACACGGCCUCGUUAGCUGAACAUUUUUAUUUGUAGAAGCUGAAAUAUUUUUUUCUCUUAUUGUUUCAGAUUCAAAUUUAGAAAGAAAAAAAAACAAAAACAUAAAUUGAUUAUUUCUGAAUCUUUCUACUGGGAACCGAACCGUUCGGAACCGGACCGUUCUGGUCCGGUUCCGGUUCCUCUGAAUCAGCUCCACGUGUUUCUGCUUCAGGUAGAAAAA
Long non-coding RNA from Xiphophorus couchianus (Monterrey platyfish), 517 nucleotides. RefSeq lists it as uncharacterized. The transcript has 2 exons. Lineage: Eukaryota; Metazoa; Chordata; Actinopteri; Cyprinodontiformes; Poeciliidae. The record is from RefSeq and is a predicted model, not a curated record.